AUGCAAGUCGAACGCGAAAGUUCCUUCGGUUUAAGGCCCCGCGUCCGGGUGAGUAACGCGUGGGUAAUCUUUAAAGGGUUAGGGAAUAACCCAGGGAAACUUGGGCUAAUACCGCAUAAUGCAGCGGCUCGACAUCGAGACAGUUUUCUAAAUCACUAAUGCGCCUGAAGAGGAGCCUGCGUCUGAUUAGCUUGUUGGUGAGGUAAUGGCUCACCAAGGCUACGAUCAGUAGCUGGUCUGAGAGGACGGCCAGCCACAAUGGCACUGAAACACGGGCCAUACUCCUACGGGAGGCAGCAGUGGGGAAUUUUGCGCAAUGGGCGGAAGCCUGACGCAGCAACGCCGCGUGAAGGAUGAAAUCCCUCGGGAUGUAAAC
Molecule: ribosomal RNA, 376 nt
Filed under: uncultured Acidobacteriota bacterium
Lineage: Bacteria; Pseudomonadati; Acidobacteriota
Description: bacterial SSU rRNA
Rfam family: Bacterial small subunit ribosomal RNA
Source: RNAcentral